AACGAACGCUGGCGGCGUGCCUAACACAUGCAAGUCGAACGGGAAAGCCCGCAAGGGUGAGUACAGUGGCGCACGGGUGCGUAACACGUGGGUAAUCUGCCCAGAAGCCCGGAAUAACUCCCCGAAAGGGGUGCUAAUGCCGGAUGAGACCACGGGGACUUCGGUUCCUGGGGGAAAAGGUGGCCUCUGUACACAAGCUAUCACUUCUGGAUGAGCCCGCGGCCCAUCAGCUAGUUGGCGGGGUAAUGGCCCACCAAGGCUACGACGGGUAGCUGGUCUGAGAGGACGAUCAGCCACACUGGAACUGAGACACGGUCCAGACUCCUACGGGAGGCAG
This 337-nucleotide ribosomal RNA is filed under the name uncultured Pseudomonadota bacterium. Its description in RNAcentral is "bacterial SSU rRNA". It matches the Rfam family "Bacterial small subunit ribosomal RNA", at positions 29 to 351 of the family's 1533-position model. The record is from RNAcentral. Lineage: Bacteria; Pseudomonadati; Pseudomonadota.